Molecule: ribosomal RNA, 468 nt
Filed under: uncultured bacterium
Lineage: Bacteria
Description: partial 16S ribosomal RNA
Rfam family: Bacterial small subunit ribosomal RNA
Source: RNAcentral
GACGAACGCUGGCGGCGUGCUUAACACAUGCAAGUCGAACGGAAAGGCCCUGCUUUUGUGGGGUGCUCGAGUGGCGAACGGGUGAGUAACACGUGAGUAACCUGCCCUUGACUUUGGGAUAACUUCAGGAAACUGGGGCUAAUACCGGAUAGGAGCUCCUGCUGCAUGGUGGGGGUUGGAAAGUUUCGGCGGUUGGGGAUGGUCUCGCGGCUUAUCAGCUUGUUGGUGGGGUAGUGGCUGACCAAGGCUUUGACGGGUAGCCGGCCUGAGCGGGUGACCGGCCACAUUGGGACUGAGAUACGGCCCAGACUCCUACGGGAGGCAGCAGUGGGGAAUAUUGCACAAUGGGCGGAAGCCUGAUGCAGCAACGCCGCGUGCGGGAUGACGGCCUUCGGGUUGUAAACCGCUUUCGCCUGUGACGAAGCGUGAGUGACGGUAAUGGGUACAGAAGCACCGGCUAACUACGUG